RNAcentral lists this ribosomal RNA (492 nucleotides) under uncultured bacterium. Its description in RNAcentral is "partial 16S ribosomal RNA". It matches the Rfam family "Bacterial small subunit ribosomal RNA", at positions 29 to 507 of the family's 1533-position model. The record is from RNAcentral.
AGUGAACGCUGGCGGUAGGCCUAACACAUGCAAGUCGAACGGCAGCACAGUAAGAGCUUGCUCUUACGGGUGGCGAGUGGCGGACGGGUGAGGAAUACAUCGGAAUCUACUUUUUCGUGGGGGAUAACGUAGGGAAACUUACGCUAAUACCGCAUACGACCUACGGGUGAAAGCAGGGGAUCUUCGGACCUUGCGCGAUUGAAUGAGCCGAUGUCGGAUUAGCUAGUUGGCGGGGUAAAGGCCCACCAAGGCGACGAUCCGUAGCUGGUCUGAGAGGAUGAUCAGCCACACUGGAACUGAGACACGGUCCAGACUCCUACGGGAGGCAGCAGUAGGGAAUAUUGGGCAAUGGGCGCAAGCCUGAUCCAGCCAUACCGCGUGAGUGAAGAAGGCCUUCGGGUUGUAAAGCCCUUUUGUUGGGAAAGAAAAGCAGCAGGUUAAUACCCCGCUGUUCUGACGGUACCCAAAGAAUAAGCACCGGCUAACUUCGUG